UCCCUUCUAAAAGCACUUGCUGGGUCUGUGCUCAGUGGCUCAGGGAGUUGUCGUGGAAGGGCAUAGAAAGACAUCACUUUUGGGUGAAGUGGUAGCCUGUGCUGUUAACUUCAAUCAGUGGUGUGACAAAA
Crocodylus porosus (Australian saltwater crocodile) is the source of this 131-nucleotide small nucleolar RNA. Lineage: Eukaryota; Metazoa; Chordata; Crocodylia; Crocodylidae. The record is from Ensembl.